ACCCUGUAGAUCCGAAUUU
RNAcentral lists this microRNA (19 nucleotides) under Drosophila erecta. RNAcentral's name for it is "miR-10-RA". Lineage: Eukaryota; Metazoa; Arthropoda; Insecta; Diptera; Drosophilidae. The record is from RNAcentral. RNAcentral also lists the same sequence under 3 other names.